Molecule: long non-coding RNA, 959 nt
Filed under: Fukomys damarensis (Damara mole-rat)
Lineage: Eukaryota; Metazoa; Chordata; Mammalia; Rodentia; Bathyergidae
Description: lncRNA (ENSFDAG00000032039.1)
Source: RNAcentral
CUCCUCGUCGUUUGGCAGGGGCUCCAAUGCCCCAGAGCAAAGGGACUGAAAGCAUUCGAUGAUGCUUCAGCGUCCUGUGUUUGUGACCUGGAGAUUUGCUGUCCCAACGCUGUGACAGGGUAGGGCGGGGACGUGGUGUCUGCGGCGUGGUGUCUGGGGCGUGGCCUCGAGCUGCGCUGUGAGGUGAGCGCACACCCAGCAGCCACACACUAGGACUCCGGCUGUCGCACGCAGUCACUGUAGCCCUGCGCACCCCUCUCUGCGAAUGCUUUCUCCCAUCCGCCACCUUUUGCCAUCAUGAGCUGGAGAAAGCGGGCCUCCUGCUCAAAGUGAUAUUGUUGGUUUCCUCUUCAGAAAUUAAAUAUUGGGAACAGGUAUUUCUGUUCCUCUCCAGGUAGCUGCAUGCAUGUCAUCACUCCCCGGCGUCACCUGAAGACGCACAGUGAAUGUCUGCCAUUGACACCUGCUCAUUGGAGCCUGCUAAUGUCCCAGCAGAUGAAGACAAGAGCAAAUGGACCGUCAGCAAUGCGCUUCAUGACGAGUGAACUGGAACCUGAGAGCUCGGUGGUGUGUGUUGCCUUUAAGUCACAUCUGUAGAGCAGCACCCCACAGCCUCCCUUCCUCGGAAUCAGUGCACUCUGCAGACACUGCAAAAGGGGGGCCGUUCCCAGAGUAAUUAGCUUCACCGAUCCAUCACGGAGGUCUCUCCCUUUGUGGCACAGAUUUUGAGCCCUGUGAAUAUGAGGCUGCACUAUCCUCAAAGGAGGAAGAGGUAAAAUAUCGUCUCCUAAGGCAGGGAAGCUCUAAUUUUCUUCUUGAAUAUAGGCCACAGGCAAGCUGUUCAGACCUUGGGUUUCCUUGAAGGAAGCAGCAAAAGGCCAACAAAUUGGCUAUCCCAAAAUUAAUAUUAGUGCUCCCACAAGUUGAUCCCAUCCCUCUUAUUGUUCAAAAUAGUCCAG